This 305-nucleotide ribosomal RNA is filed under the name uncultured bacterium. Its description in RNAcentral is "bacterial SSU rRNA". It matches the Rfam family "Bacterial small subunit ribosomal RNA", at positions 335 to 657 of the family's 1533-position model. The record is from RNAcentral.
CGUCCUACGGGAGGCAGCAGUGGGGAAUAUUGCACAAUGGGGGGAACCCUGAUGCAGCGACGCCGCGUGGGUGAAGGAGUACUUCGGUACGUAAAGCCCUAUCAGCAGGAAAGAAAAUGACGGUACCUGACUAAGAAGCCCCGGCUAACUACGUGCCAGCAGCCGCGGUAAUACGUAGGGGGCAAGCGUUAUCCGGAUUUACUGGGUGUAAAGGGAGCGCAGGCGGCCUGGCAAGCCUGAUGUGAAAUACCGGGGCCCAACCCCGGGGCUGCAUUGGGAACUGCCAGGCUGGAGUGCCGGAGAGG